CCUACGAGAGGCAGCAGUAGGGAAUUUUGCGCAAUGGGGGAAACCCUGACGCAGCAACGCCGCGUGAUCGAUGAAGCCCUUCGGGGUGUAAAGAUCUGUCAGUGGGGACGAAACCUGACGGUACCCACAGAGGAAGCACCGGCUAACUCCGGGCCAGCAGCCGCGGUAAUACGGGGGGUGCAAUAGUUGUACGUAAUCAUUGGGCGUAAAGAGUUCGUAGGUGGCACGUUAAGUCUGGUUUUAAAGGCGGAAGCUCCACUUCCGUAGGGCACUGGAUAAUGGCGUGCUUGCAUGCGGUAGAGGUAAAGUGAAUUCCUGGUGUAGCGGUGACGUGCGUAGAUAUCAGGAGGCACAUCGGUGGCGUAAGCGCUUUACUGGGCCGUAAUUGACACUGAGGAACGAAAGCCGGGGUAGCAAAUGGGAUUAGAUACCCUGGUAGUC
RNAcentral lists this ribosomal RNA (441 nucleotides) under uncultured bacterium. Its description in RNAcentral is "partial 16S ribosomal RNA". It matches the Rfam family "Bacterial small subunit ribosomal RNA", at positions 338 to 795 of the family's 1533-position model. The record is from RNAcentral.